RNAcentral lists this ribosomal RNA (430 nucleotides) under uncultured bacterium. RNAcentral describes it as "bacterial SSU rRNA". It matches the Rfam family "Bacterial small subunit ribosomal RNA", at positions 355 to 786 of the family's 1533-position model. The record is from RNAcentral.
UGAGGAAUAUUGGUCAAUGGGCGGGAGCCUGAACCAGCCAAGCCGCGUGAGGGAGGAAGGCCCUAUGGGUCGUAAACCUCUUUUGUCAGGGAACAAAAGCGAGUAUGUAUACUAGUCUGAGUGUACCUGAAGAAAAAGCAUCGGCUAACUCCGUGCCAGCAGCCGCGGUAAUACGGAGGAUGCGGGCGUUAUCCGGAUUUAUUGGGUUUAAAGGGUGCGUAGGCGGCGGUGCAAGUCAGCGGUAAAAGCCCGGGGCUCAACCCGGCGAGCGUGAACAUGCAGUGCUAGAGAAGGCGAGAGGUACGCGGAAUGCGCAGUGUAGCGGUGAAAUGCUUAGAUAUUGCGCAGAACUCCGAUUGCGAAGGCAGCGUACUGGCGCCUGACUGACGCUGAGGCACGAAAGCGUGGGGAUCGAACAGGAUUAGAUACC